CAGAGUAGGAGAACGUGCGUUAAGUGCCGCGCGGACGGAGAGUUGCCGUGCGGACGAAAGCCCUCAGGGAGGAGGGCUGCGGUACGUUCUUCGCAUCUCGCUG
Molecule: non-coding RNA, 103 nt
Filed under: pig gut metagenome
Description: THF riboswitch
Rfam family: THF (Tetrahydrofolate) riboswitch aptamer
About the family: THF riboswitch presents a pseudoknot that joins P1-P2 and the loop of P3 and two THF binding.
Source: RNAcentral